AACGAACGCUGGCGGCAUGCCUAACACAUGCAAGUCGAACGAGACCUUCGGGUCUAGUGGCGCACGGGUGCGUAACGCGUUGGAACCUGCCCUUAGGUUCGGAAUAACUCCCCGAAAGGGGUGCUAAUACCGGAUAAUGUCUUCGGACCAAAGAUUUAUCGCCUUUGGAUGGGCCCGCGUUGGAUUAGCUAGUUGGUAGGGUAAAAGCCUACCAAGGCGACGAUCCAUAGCUGGUCUGAGAGGAUGAUCAGCCACACUGGGACUGAGACACGGCCCAGACUCCUACGGGAGGCAGCAGUAGGGAAUAUUGGACGAUGGGCGAAAGCCUGAUCCAGCAAUGCCGCGUGAGUGAUGAAGGCCUUAGGGUUGUAAAGCUCUUUUACCCGGGAUGAUAAUGACAGUACCGGGAUAAUAAGCUCCGGCUAACUCCGUG
This 433-nucleotide ribosomal RNA is filed under the name uncultured bacterium. RNAcentral's name for it is "partial 16S ribosomal RNA". It matches the Rfam family "Bacterial small subunit ribosomal RNA", at positions 29 to 507 of the family's 1533-position model. The record is from RNAcentral.